Molecule: ribosomal RNA, 412 nt
Filed under: uncultured eukaryote
Lineage: Eukaryota
Description: SSU rRNA
Rfam family: Eukaryotic small subunit ribosomal RNA
Source: RNAcentral
CCAGCAGCUGCGGUAAUUCCGGCUCCAAUAGCGUAUAUUAAAGUUGUUGCAGUUAAAAAGCUCGUAGUUGGAUGUCGAAGCCGGGAAACGAGUCCGUGCCUUUGUGCAUGUGAACUUGGCUUCCCGGUUCCUAUCUCUCGGAGACGCCGUCUGCACUUCAUUGUGUGGGCGUGUGGAUUCGGGGCUGUUACUGUGAGCAAAUCAGAGUGUUCAAAGCAAGCAUUAGCCUGAAUGAAUUAGCAUGGAAUAACAACGUAAAACUUUGGUUUUAUUUGUUGGUUUGGAAACCAAAGGUAUGGUUAAUAGGGAUAGUUGGGGGCAUUUGUACUCCGUUGUCAGAGGUGAAAUUCUUGGAUUUACGGAAGACAAACUUAUGCGAAAGCAUUUGCCAAGGAUGUUCCCAUUAAUCAAG